ACGAUCUCCUCCUCUGAACCACUUCCUGCCUCUCUGGUUAAUCUCCACAUCCACCGGCCUCCCUCUAAGAGCUGCUUCGUGGACGAGAUCCUGCGUGAGGAGGCCGUGGACGAAGCAGCCACACGGAGGAGUAGGAGUAGGCUUGGAGUUGCGCCAGCGAUUGAGGCGACUAGGGUUGCCCCGGGAGUUCUGCAUAGGGGCAGAAUGGUGUCGCGGCGGGUGGGGAAUCAAUGGAAGAGACCGAUUGGGUGCAGUGUCCGUGGGCAGCAGUGUGUGAGGAGUUCAGAACUGGCAGGAAUCGUCGCGAUGACCGCGGUGUCGGUGGCUAUUCGGCGGAGGAGGCAGCCGUUGUGCCAUGUCGGCGAGAAGCAUGCAGCAGCGGACCCGGCGAGGAUGGAGACAGCGGCGAAACCAGCGACUGCGCGUGCGAUAGUGCAGGCCGCCAUGUACGGCAGCGGCCGCGGAAGGGAGAGAUUGGAUAGCAAGAUCCCCGUCAAGAUACAGUCCGAAAUCUUCAGCACAGUAUCUGUCCCGAGAGGCAUGCGACAUAGGAUGUAUAUGGCGUGAUCACAAACCAGAUUGCUACAGACUCCCAGUGGUAAAUAUAAUCACUUCACUGUAUUAUUAGCUCCAGAUUAAUUACUUCAACAGAAGAAAAUCUCAGAUUAGUACUUACAGCCACCUUCCUUGAUUUAAAUGGGAAUUUGAAUUGUUAUCACAAGAUUGGUUUUUGGAAUGGAACAAAUGAAUCGUAGACCAGAAUGUGAUAGAAAUGGUAGAACAGAUGGACAGAAAAGCUGUGCACUGACUCCCAUCCCCAACAAAAAAGAGUUAUUGUGUUAAUCGGAAAGAAACUCUACAACUUACAAUUUCUCUUGAACAGCAUUACAAAUAUAUCCAGAAAGAUAUUAUAGCAUUCGCCCGGGAGACCAAGAUGCAAAGUGUCAAGAAGCAGUGUAAUAUAAAAAGCACAUCAUUUGUCUGAGCUAGCACUUACUGAGAAGAUAUUCGUGCAAACAGCAAAAUCUGACAUCCAGCAACAGGUAAGGGAGCCUGAAAGAGAGAUGAAAUGAAGUAUUCAAACUAAUGAAGCAGACAGUCUGCAUCGAGGCUGAAUGUCUACGGAAAGAGGAAUUACACUGACUGUUCCAGUUCCUAGAGUGCUUUGUUAGAGCCAAGGAGAAGGAUCCCUUAGAGAGGGAGAAAAGAGGCAUGUGACAUGGCUCCGCAAAGAGACAUAAUUGACAUGUAAUACGCCAAGGAAAGCAUCGAAAUAAAGAGAUGACACAGAAACAUUGUAUUUAAUUAGGCCAUCUAUUGAGGAAUAUACAUACAUGUUUCCAGUACUGAAACUCACUUUGUCGAUUUUGUAAUGUAUCAAAUUGAUGUUAGCGAACAUGGUACUUUGCUACAGGAUCUCAUUGCACCUAA
Molecule: long non-coding RNA, 1431 nt
Organism: Lolium rigidum
Lineage: Eukaryota; Viridiplantae; Streptophyta; Magnoliopsida; Poales; Poaceae
Exons: 5
Source: RefSeq, a predicted model, not a curated record